RNAcentral lists this long non-coding RNA (1738 nucleotides) under Daphnia magna. Its description in RNAcentral is "uncharacterized LOC123475219". The record is from RNAcentral. Lineage: Eukaryota; Metazoa; Arthropoda; Branchiopoda; Diplostraca; Daphniidae.
AAUUCCACUAUAAACAAUAAUCCCAUAAGAGGCUGUGUUAAAAAAGGGUGUGGUUUUCCAAAGAUGGCGGAUAGAAACGUUGCCGGAAUACAGCAAUCCUGCUAUCUGCAUUCUGCAAGAAGUCUAUUGUUGACAUUUUUUCGCUUAACCCUACCGGGAACUGCGCGAACACCGAGAGCCCUUGAGUAAUAAACACUCGCUGGUUUUGGGAUAGGCGAUAGUGUACCUUAUUAUAUCGUGCUACAACGUUUCGCAAUAAAAAUGGCUUAAGCUAAUUUCAAGUGAGAAAUUCAAUCUGGCAAUGUUCUGGUCUUCCAGAAGUUUACCAUUUUAAGGCUUGCCAGUUGCAAGCAUGGAUCGGGAAUUUUGCACCGCAAUCCUUUUUAUCUUAGAUAAAAUUCGUAAUCUGGAAUUUUCCUUCAUUUUCUGCAUGAUGGGCAUAUUCAAUAUCUAGUCUCAUCUGGCCAUCAAAGAUCUGUGAUUUGUUGUGAAUGAGUUGGAUAAAAUAGAUAUAGCAGUUAUGCAAGCAUUACUACUCAUUUCUACUCAUUUCAUUGAAUAAUGAAUGUUGGCUGUGAGAUGCCCAUUGAGCUUUCUCUAUUAUUAUUUGAGAGCUGAAUGGUGCUUAGCCCCAAAUCCCGGAGUGAGAAGAAAGCAGAAAAAGAAGAAGAAGCUGACAGAGGGACAGAAGAGGCGGCGCAACCGUUAUAACUACGAGAAGGAACGAAGGAAACGAGAGGCUGCAGCAGCUGCGGCGUUAACUGCGACCAUCCCUGACGCCCCCGAAAGGUCGGUGGUGUUUACGUCCGCCCAUCUUCCACUUCGACCCAUCGCUACUGUCGGCCCGUCCGUCAACCUGCCAACUUUACCUGCCGGUCCAUCAUGGAAGAUCGUGGAAGAUCAUGGAAGAUUGAUAUGCCUCUAAAAAAAGAAGCUACCCAAGAAUCUAAACAUUAUUGGAUGUAUUAAGUCUGACAAUAGUUGGACAACCUCAAUAGUUGGCAAAUCUACCUUUUUCAGUGUGCUAACAAAAAGUGCAGCACCUGCAGAGAAUUUCCCACUUUGCACCAUUGAUCUGAAUGAAAAUAAGUGUUCUUUUAGUGUUUAUAAACAAAAAUUUUGGUUACUGUCAUAUUAAAUUUCCGGUCUAGUGUUCAAAUAAGGUAGCAGUUCCUGAUGAAAGGUUUGAUUGGUUGCUUCAGCAUUAUAAACCCUCAAAGUAAAGUUUGAAGAAUCAUAUUCAUCCAUUGUAUUCUUAAUUGUUUUUCACUUCAAAACAGUCCCAAAUUCACUAUUUACUGGAUCAGAAGAUCAUACAGCUGGCAGCAACAGAAAUUAUGUUCAUACUAAAAGCAGUCUUUCUUAAGUGUUAUAUUUCCCGAUAGGGAUUCUAUCAAAACUCGCAUUUCCCAACCCCCUGAUACAGGCACCCCUACCCUUCUACAACGACCCGUGGAUCGACCGACACUUUUUCUGAGACUUUACCCCAGAGAUGGCGCUGAUGGCGCGGCGAUUUUCAGGGGUGUCUACACUAAUCUUUCGUUCGUUUUUUUAUUUUAGAUGCUGUGCCGCUGAGAUUGGUCUCCUUUUGUAGAGAAAAUAACGCAGCAACUCCCGGUCGAGUCUCCGUUUUUAUCGGCUGAAUGGCAAAGGAGUGCGGAGCAGUUUAGUCGGCCCAUUCGAGUCGAUUUCAGGGUCUCGUACGUAUCUUUUAUACGUUUUCUUAUUUUAGAUGCUG